AUGGACCAAUAUGGACCAGUACAGCCCAGCACGAUCCCAGUACGGCCCAGUGCUGUGGGCUGCACCAUCCCCAUGCGGCUCAAUAAAGUCCAGUGGCACCAGGCGCGGUCUCCCUCUGUUCCCGUCCCGUCUCUUCGGGGCGGUUCCCAUCUCUCAGUCCCGGGACCCGUCGGUUCGUUCGAGCAGCGGAUCCGACCAACGGGACCCGAACCGGGACCAACGGGAUCCAAACCAGGACCCCGACCGGGAUCAACGGGAUCCGAACCGGGACCACAACCGGGACCAACAGGAUCCGAACCGGGACCCCGACCGGGAUCAAUGGGAUCCGAACCGGGACCCCGACCGGAACCAACGGGAUCCAAACCGGGACCCCGACCGGGAUCAACGGGAUCCGAACCGGGACCACCGGGAUCCGAACCGGGACCCCAACCGGAACCAACGGGAUCCAAACCGGGACCCCGACCGGGAUCAAUGGGAUCCGAACCGGGACCCCGACCGGGACCAACGGGAUCCAAACCGGGACCCCGACNACCAACGGGAUCCAAACCGGGACCCCGACCGGGAUCAAUGGGAUCCGAACCGGGACCCCGACCGGGACCAACGGGAUCCAAACCGGGACCCCGACCGGGAUCAAUGGGAUCCGAACCGGGACCCCGACCGGGAUCAAUGGGACCCGAACCGGGACCCCGACCGGGAUCAAUGGGAUCCGAACCGGGACCCCGACCGGGAUCAAUGGGACCCGAACCGGGACCCCGCCGUGCCCAGCGGACGCUGCUGUUGCUGUUGUCCCUAUUGGUGUCUCCGGUGUCUCCGUUGUCUCCGGUCCCGCGGUGCCCGUUGGGUUUCGGGCCGGUUCCGGGCGCCCCCGGUCGCUGCGGGGAUCGCGACGAGUGUCGAACGGCCGCCGUGUGUCAGCACAUGUGUCUGAACCACCACGGGGGAUUCGCCUGUCACUGCCGGCGGGGCUUCGUCCUGCAGCCCGACGGGGCCACGUGCCAACCGAACCGGCGGCCGAACCGGGACCACCGGGACCAUCAAUGGGAUCAAUGGGAUCAAUGGGAUCAAUGGGAACAACGGGAACAACGGGAGCAGCGGCGGCGCCGGCCGCAGCACAGGCAGCCACAGCCCGGCCGGGAUUCCAGCAGGGGGCACCGUCAGCACGAGCGGAACCGAUGGGACCCGAACCGGGAUCAGAACCGGAACCGAUGGGACCCGAACCAGGAUCCGAACCGGAACCGAUGGGACCCGAACCAGGAUCCGAACCGGGAUCAGAACCGGAACCGAUGGGACCCGAACCGGGAUCAGAACCGGAACCGAUGGGACCCGAACCGGGAUCAGAACCGGGAUCAGAACCGGGAUCAGAACCGGAACCACCAGGAUCCAAACUGGGACCCCAACCGGAGCCAAUGGGAUCCGAACCGGGAUCCAAACUGGGAUCCAAACCAGAACCGAUGGAAUCCGAACCGGAAUCAGAACUGGGAUCAGAACCGGAACCACCGGGAUCCAAACUGGGACACGAACCAGAGCCAAUGGGAUCCGAACCGGGAUCAGAACUGGGAUCAGAACCGGGAUCUGAACCGGGAUCCGAACCAGGACCACCGGGAUCCAAACUGGGACACGAACCGGAACCAAUGGGAUCCAAACCAGGAUCAGAACCGGGACCCCAACCGGAGCCAAUGGGACCCAAACUGGGAUCCCAACCAGAACCACCAGGACCCCAACCGGAACCGAUGGGAUCCAAACCGGGACCCCUACCAGAACCACCAGGAUCCAAACUGGGACCCCAACCAGGACCCCAUCCGGAACCACCAUGAUCCCAACCGGAGCCAAUGGGAUCCGAACCAGGACCCCAUCCGAGCUCAUUGGGAUCCCAACCGGAACCAGCAGGACCCAAAGUGGGAUCCCAGCCGAGCUCAUCCAAACCCCAAUGGGAGCCAAUGGGACCCCGACCAGGACCCCAACUGGGACCCCAAUGGGAGCCAAUGGGAGCCCGACCCGGAUUCCAGCCCACAUCACCACGAUCCCAACCGGGAUCCCAACCGGAACCAAUGGGACCCCAACCGGGACCCCAAUGGGAGCCAAUGGGACCCCAACCAAGACCCCAAUAGAAGCCAAUGGGACCCCAACCAGGACCCCAAUGGGAGCCAAUGGGACCCCAACCAGGACCCCAAUGGGAGCCAAUGGGACCCCAACCAGGACCCCAACCAGGACCCCAAUGGGAGCCAAUGGGACCCCAACCAGGACCCCAAUGGAAGCCAAUGGGACCCUAACCGGGACCCCAAUGGGAGCCAAUGGGACCCCAACCAGGACCCCAACCAGGACCCCAAUGGGAGCCAAUGGGAUUUGAGCUGGGACCCCAACCCUCAUCAUUGGGAUUCGGGCAUUAGGGCUUUGCACGAGGAUUCGCACGAGGAUUCACACGAGGAUUCACACGAGGAUUCACACGAGGAUUCACACGCGGGUUCGCACCCUCCCCCCCCGCCCCCCCCCACCGGCCCCUAUAGCAACGGAGACCCCGAAGGGUGGGACCCCAGCCCCUAUGGGGACCCCUAUAUGGACCCCUAUGGGGACCCCGAUGCUUAUGGGGACGCCUAUGGGGAGUCUCCCCCCCGCUAUGGGGCUGCGGGGUCUGACGUGGAGCCCUGGGAGCCGGACACCUAUGGGGACCCAUAUACAGACCCCUAUAGGGACGAGGAGCCCCAUAGGGAGCCCUGGGGGUCCUACGUGCCCCACUCGGGUCCCUAUGGGGCAGAGGACCCCGAGCCCGGCAGCCUCCGCAGGGGGAGGGACCCCCAGACCCGGCCCUGGGUGUCCUAUGGGGACUCAGCUGCAGACCCCUAUGGGGCUGAGGACCCCUAUGGGGCUGAGGACCCCUAUGAGGGGGGGGAAUCUCAGGCCGAGGGGGAGACUGAAGCCUUGGGAGGGCAGUGGGACCCCCACGGGGACCCCUAUGGGGCUGAGGACUCGUAUGGGGCUGAGCCCUAUGGGAAUGAGGACCCCCAGGUGGAGGCUGCAGACCCCUAUAGGUUUGGAGACCCCCAGAGCAACCCCAUAGAUACCCAUAGAGCCCUGGACCCCCAUAAUGAUCCUCCUGAACCCUAUAGAGCCCAGGACCCCGAGACUGACAACAGGGAGCCCUACGGGUUUAGGGACCCCCACCCUGAUCCCAUAAAGCCCUAUAGAGACCAGGACCCCCACCCUGAUCCAUAGAGCCCUAUAGAGACCGGGACCCCCACCCUGAUCCCAUAGAGCCCUAUAGAGACCGGUGACCCCAUCCUGACGCCAUAGAGCCCUCAUAGAGACCGGGUACCGCCCACCCUGAUCCCAUAGAGCGCCUAUAGAGACCGGACCGGCCCACCCUGAUCCCAUAGAGCCCUAUAGAGACGGCAGGACCUCCGCAUCCUGAUUACCAUAGAGCCCUAUAGAGACGCGGGACCCCCACCUGACCCCAUAGAGCCUACAGAAGACGCGGGACCUCCAUGCCUUGACUACCAUAAAGCCCUAUAGAGGACCGGGACCCCCACCCCUGAUCCCAUACGAGCCCGUAUAAGACGGGACCCCACCCUGAUCCCAUAGAGCCCUAUAGAGACCGGGACCCCCAUCCUGACCCCAUAGAGCCCUAUAGAGACCGGGACCCCCACCCUGAUCCCAUAAAUCCCUAUAGGUUUGGUGACCCCCGUACUGAUCCCAUAGACCCCUAUGGAGCCCAAGACCCCCAUUCUGGUCAUGUAGACCCCCAAAGUGACCCCACAGACCAUUAUACAGACCAGGACCCCCAAACUGAGCACAGGGACCCCCAAAGAUCCCAAGACCCCAGAAUGACCAGACCCUCCCCUAUAGGGACCCAUAGGGACCCCCAAACCGACCCCAUUGGGACACCCCAGGACCCCCGCAGUGCCCCUGCCCCCUCCAGGGACCCCCAACAUGGAGACCCCCCAGCUGCCCCCCAGACUGUCCCUACUGCCCCCCUGCCAGCCAGGGACCCCAAAACUGCCCCUAUUGCCCCCAAAACUGCCCC
RNAcentral lists this long non-coding RNA (4018 nucleotides) under Coturnix japonica (Japanese quail). RNAcentral's name for it is "lncRNA (ENSCJPG00005001595.1)". Lineage: Eukaryota; Metazoa; Chordata; Aves; Galliformes; Phasianidae. The record is from RNAcentral.